This 211-nucleotide long non-coding RNA is filed under the name Phoenix dactylifera (date palm). Its description in RNAcentral is "long non-coding RNA (PDAC_LNC014317)". Lineage: Eukaryota; Viridiplantae; Streptophyta; Magnoliopsida; Arecales; Arecaceae. The record is from RNAcentral.
UGUUACCUGGGAGGUGACAGGGGGAUUUGUCCUCUUUUGUGAUAAUUGGGCACGAUUUUGCUCAUUAAUGGCGUAGUGGAGAAUAAAGCCGGAUCAGACCGGAGUCAGGGAGUUGUCGCGGUUGAUCGGACCUAUUGGGGUGGUUGAACCGCCGGCCGUGGUGGGCCUAGGGUUCGUAGAUGGUAAGUGCAUUAAUUGCUGAGUGAACCGG